This 471-nucleotide ribosomal RNA is filed under the name Triticum aestivum (bread wheat). Its description in RNAcentral is "partial small subunit ribosomal RNA". Lineage: Eukaryota; Viridiplantae; Streptophyta; Magnoliopsida; Poales; Poaceae. The record is from RNAcentral.
AUGUCAACGGUCAUCGUGGUACUUCGUUCCGGUCUUGUAGUCGUACUAGGCAUCGGUGGACCUUCGAGGGACUUGCAUAUCCGAAGGGAUACUUGGCGAUCGACGGACGUCGUGGUACUUGAUGGUCUGGGUCUUGGUGUAUCCAAAACGGUCAUCGAUCAUGGAACUUGGCGAAACCCAGGGACGCUCAAGUCUGUGCAGGACUUGGUCUUGCUGUCCAGUACAGAGAGUUGCCGAUCAUGGCGUCCAUUCGACCGACAGCGAAGGCGCGCGAACCAGCAGCAGGGGGCUGCUGAGGUGGCGACCAUGUGGCUGUCACAGUCACACGCAACGCAUCACAGGAAGAUGACGAAGGCCUCAGGCAUGAAGGCUCGAAUGUUGAAGGAGGAAGGGGCCGACGGUGUCGGGGCUGCAUCUUGGCUAUCCAGUGACAGCAGGGGAUGGAGCUCGAUCGAGGCGGAGCAGCGGUAG